GGCGCGAUUUUUGUUUCCGAUCAAUCAGUCAAAUUUUAGCCGAUUCCGACACCGUAGCGAAAAAUGACGAAAUUACCCCCAUCGCGAUUUUUGUUUCCGAUCAAUCUGUCAAAUUUUAGCCGAUUCCGACACCGUCGCGAAAAAUGACGAAAUUGCUCCCGGCGCGAUUUUUGUUUCCGAUCAAUCUGUUAAAUAUUAGCGGAUUCCGAC
Molecule: long non-coding RNA, 210 nt
Filed under: Olea europaea (common olive)
Lineage: Eukaryota; Viridiplantae; Streptophyta; Magnoliopsida; Lamiales; Oleaceae
Description: long non-coding RNA (OEUR_LNC009652)
Source: RNAcentral